GACGAACGCUGGCGGCGUGCCUAAUACAUGCAAGUCGAACGCACAGUUUAUACCGUAGCUUGCUACACCAUAAACUGUGAGUUGCGAACGGGUGAGUAACGCGUAGGUAACCUGCCUGGUAGCGGGGGAUAACUAUUGGAAACGAUAGAUAAUACCGCAUAAUAUUGAUUAUUGCAUGAUAAUUGAUUGAAAGCUGCUAUUGCAUCACUACCAGAUGGUCCUGCGUUGUAUUAGCUAGUAGGUGAGGUAACGGCUCACCUAGGCGACGAUACAUAGCCGACCUUGGAGGGUGAUCGGCCACACUGGGACUGGGACACGGCCCAGACUCCUACGGGAGGCAGCAGUAGGGAAUCUUCGGCAAUGGACGGAAGUCUGACCGAGCAACGCCGCGUGAGUGAAGAAGGUUUUCGGAUCGUAAAGCUCUGUUGUAAGAGAAGAACGGGUGUGAGAGUGGAAAGUUCACACUGUGACGGUAUCUUACCAGAAAGGGACGGCUAACUACGUG
RNAcentral lists this ribosomal RNA (505 nucleotides) under uncultured bacterium. RNAcentral's name for it is "partial 16S ribosomal RNA". It matches the Rfam family "Bacterial small subunit ribosomal RNA", at positions 28 to 507 of the family's 1533-position model. The record is from RNAcentral.